UAGGGUCGGUCGCGCAGUAAUAUCUUGGCUCCGAAUUUAUGUUCUUGGUACAUUUCAGGAGUUCAAGCUAAUAACCCAAUAACCCUUACAGUUAAAUAAGGUUAUCUUGGUCAUUUGGGUCCUUCGUCUGCAAAGACAAAAAACCGGGAAAUGGCAGAUCUGCGCCCCUGAUACCGAUCUAAUUUU
RNAcentral lists this non-coding RNA (186 nucleotides) under Pteromalus puparum. The record is from RNAcentral. Lineage: Eukaryota; Metazoa; Arthropoda; Insecta; Hymenoptera; Pteromalidae.